ACGCUCGACACCUACGGGAGACAGCAGUGGGGAAUAUUGCACAAUGGGGGAAACCCUGAUGCAGCGACGCCGCGUGAGUGAAGAAGUAUUUCGGUAUGUAAAGCUCUAUCAGCAGGGAAGAAGAUGACGGUACCUGAGUAAGAAGCCCCGGNUAACUACGUGCCAACAGCCGCGGUAAUCUGAGCGGGCUGGCAAGGC
This 198-nucleotide ribosomal RNA is filed under the name uncultured bacterium. Its description in RNAcentral is "partial 16S ribosomal RNA". It matches the Rfam family "Bacterial small subunit ribosomal RNA", at positions 328 to 539 of the family's 1533-position model. The record is from RNAcentral.